RNAcentral lists this non-coding RNA (45 nucleotides) under Schistosoma mansoni. The record is from RNAcentral. Lineage: Eukaryota; Metazoa; Platyhelminthes; Trematoda; Strigeidida; Schistosomatidae.
AUCCAGCUGACGAUUCUCAAAUAGGACGAAACGCGUGUCCUAGAU